RNAcentral lists this ribosomal RNA (445 nucleotides) under uncultured bacterium. Its description in RNAcentral is "partial 16S ribosomal RNA". It matches the Rfam family "Bacterial small subunit ribosomal RNA", at positions 331 to 793 of the family's 1533-position model. The record is from RNAcentral.
CCAGACUCCUACGGGAGGCAGCAGUGGGGGAUAUUGCACAAUGGGGGAACCCUGAUGCAGCGACGCCGCGUGGGUGAAGGAGUAUUUCGGUAUGUAAAGCCCUAUCGGCAGGGAAGAAGCAAGACGGUACCUGACUAAGAAGCCCCGGCUAACUACGUGCCAGCAGCCGCGGUAAUACGUAGGGGGCGAGCGUUAUCCGGAUUCACUGGGUGUAAAGGGAGCGUAGACGGCCAAGCAAGCCAGGGGUGAAAGCCCGGGGCCCAACCCCGGGACUGCUCUUGGAACUGCGCGGCUGGAGCGCAGGAGGGGCAGGCGGAAUUCCUGGUGUAGCGGUGAAAUGCGUAGAUAUCAGGAGGAACACCGGUGGCGAAGGCGGCCUGCUGGACUGCGACUGACGUUGAGGCCCGAAAGCGUGGGGAGCAAACAGGAUUAGAUACCCUUGUAC